This 253-nucleotide ribosomal RNA is filed under the name uncultured bacterium. RNAcentral describes it as "partial 16S ribosomal RNA". It matches the Rfam family "Bacterial small subunit ribosomal RNA", at positions 524 to 776 of the family's 1533-position model. The record is from RNAcentral.
GACGAACCGUGCGAACGUUAUUCGGAAUCACUGGGCUUAAAGGGCGCGUAGGCGGGUCCGUAAGUCAGGGGUGAAAUCCCACGGCCCAACCGUGGAAGUGCCUUUGAUACUGCGGGCCUCGAGGGGGAUAGGGGCGUGCGGAACUCAGGGUGGAGCGGUGAAAUUCGUAGAUAUUCGCAAGAACACCAGUGGCGAAGGCGGCUUACUGGUCCGGUUCUGACGCUGAGGCGCGAAAGCGUGGGGAGCAAACAGG